Molecule: ribosomal RNA, 421 nt
Filed under: uncultured bacterium
Lineage: Bacteria
Description: bacterial SSU rRNA
Rfam family: Bacterial small subunit ribosomal RNA
Source: RNAcentral
UCAGCAGCCGCGGUAAAACGUAGGAGGCAAGCGUUAUCCGGAUUCACUGGGCGUAAAGCGCGUGCAGGCGGUGCGGUAAGUUGGGCGUGAAAUCUCCCGGCUCAACUGGGAUAGGUCGUCCAAUACUACCGUACUUGAGAGCAGAAGAGGAAAAUGGAAUUCCCGGUGUAGUGGUGAAAUGCGUAGAUAUCGGGAGGAACACCAGUGGCGAAGGCGAUUUUCUGGUCUGUUUCUGACGCUCAGACGCGACAGCUAGGGUAGUAAACGGGAUUAGAGACCCCGGUAAUCCUAGCCGUAAACGAUGUGAACUUGGCGUUGGUGGGUUAAACUCCAUCAGUGCCGUAGCAAACGCGAUAAGUUCACCGCCUGGGGACUACGGCCGCAAGGUUAAAACUCAAAGGAAUUGACGGGGGCCCGCACA